Stylophora pistillata is the source of this 207-nucleotide long non-coding RNA. NCBI's taxonomy places the organism in Eukaryota, Metazoa, Cnidaria, Anthozoa, Scleractinia, Pocilloporidae. The record is from RefSeq and is a predicted model, not a curated record.
GCGUAGACGUCGUCGUCGAGGGGACUAACAGCGAAAAGGGCUGCUUUGUCUCAGAAUAUUUAGAUUUCCAAGGAAGAUGUCCCUAUUGAAAAUAUUGGACUUGGAUUAUAUGUGUUUUCCUGCUCUAGCAGGAUUUUUAUGGUGAAGUAAAAGCUGGGAUGUAAAACAUACAAGUGAGCAUUAAAAGCAGCCUUUUAAGGAAAGGAA